GGGAAUAACGUUGGAAACGAACGCUAAUACCGCAUAAUCUCGGAAGAGUAAAGGUGGCGCCGCAAGGGCUACCGUCCAAGGAUUGGCUCAUGUCCCAUUAGCUAGUUGGCGGGGUAAUGGCCCACCAAGGCAACGAUGGGUAUGUGGUCUGAGAGGAUGAUCACACACACUGGAACUGAGACACGGUCCAGACUCCUACGGGAGGCAGCAGUAGGGAAUAUUGCACAAUGGGGGAAACCCUGAUGCAGCAACGCCGCGUGAGUGAAGAAGGCCCUUGGGUCGUAAAGCUCUUUAGCGAGGGAAGAGGGUAGGUACGGUGAACAAUCGUGCUUGCUGACGGUACCUCGAGAAUAAGCACCGGCUAAUUUCGUGCCAGCAGCCGCGGUAA
RNAcentral lists this ribosomal RNA (388 nucleotides) under uncultured Desulfocurvus sp. RNAcentral describes it as "bacterial SSU rRNA". It matches the Rfam family "Bacterial small subunit ribosomal RNA", at positions 139 to 523 of the family's 1533-position model. Lineage: Bacteria; Pseudomonadati; Thermodesulfobacteriota; Desulfovibrionia; Desulfovibrionales; Desulfovibrionaceae. The record is from RNAcentral.